RNAcentral lists this ribosomal RNA (513 nucleotides) under Triticum aestivum (bread wheat). Its description in RNAcentral is "partial small subunit ribosomal RNA". Lineage: Eukaryota; Viridiplantae; Streptophyta; Magnoliopsida; Poales; Poaceae. The record is from RNAcentral.
AUGGUCGUUGAUCCAGUUCUCAAGGGAUUUGACCUCAACAUCGCGGCAGUAGAUGAGUCAAGCCCCUUGGAAGGAAUCGACCUUGUAAGUGUGACGAUGGACGGCACGAUCAAGCAUUUUUUCUACCGUCCCAAGGCGUUCAAGAGUGGACGGACGAAACAUCGGAAGAUAAAGGCGGAGUGCAACGCUCGUUCCGCGUGGUACAAGACCGGCAAAAGCAUGACAUUGAAGGCCAACGGCCGGCUGACGGGCUGGAAGAACAUCCUGGUGCUCUACACCAACACGUUCGGCGGCAGCGCGCGAGACAAGGCCAGGAAGACCAACUGGGUGAUGCACGAGUAUCACCUCAGCGACGUCGAGGACGAGGAAGACGAAGAUGGGGAGCUGGUCCUGUGCAAAAUCUUCUACCAGACGGCGGGGCCCAAGAGAAGAAGUGUGUUGAGGACCCAAGAGAACAAGUGCCCCUGUGGCAUGGACGUUUUGCCAUCCCAAAACAACCCCCCAAAAAACUAG